Xenopus tropicalis (tropical clawed frog) is the source of this 774-nucleotide non-coding RNA. The record is from the annotation of a RefSeq genome assembly. Lineage: Eukaryota; Metazoa; Chordata; Amphibia; Anura; Pipidae.
AUCUGUGCAGGGAUUUAAUAGGGAUCCUGAUAGGAGAUACAGUACCAUAGUAGCAGAGCCAUCCUGUACUGAACCAUGUCCUGGGCUGCCCUCCUCCUCUCUCUCACCUCUCUCUGCACAUAUUCGGCCGCCCAAGUCUCACUAACACAGCCGGUGUCUGAAUCAGUGAAGCCGGGGGAGACAGUGAGAAUCUCCUGCACACUCAGUGGUUACAGUAUCAGUGAUCGCUCUGUGUACUGGUUCCAACAGAAAUCAGGGAAUCGCCCCAGAUACUUACUGUAUUUCUAUUCAGACUCAGGCAAACACCAGGGAGCUGGGGUGCCUGAUCGGUUCUCUGGAUCCAAAGAUUCCCCUAAUAAUGUUGGCUAUUUAACCAUUAGAGGAGCCUUACUAGAAGAUGAUGCAGAUUAUUACUGUGCCAUAUAUCAUCCUCCAUCCAGCUCGUUGCACAGUGGUGUAUUGCUGUGAGGAACUGAAACAAAACUUCAGAUACAUCUUUGUUGCAGUUAUAUAAAGGCAAGUUUAAGUCACAGCUCUUUUGCAAAAAUAGAGUAAAGACAUUGGUGAUUUACUAUACAAGCCAAAGAGACCCAGGCAUAGGGCCGGAGUGUAAAGGGGCAGGCUGCAGGAGUAAUUGUAGAAGGUCCAUUGUAUAAGAAUUGCUUCUGCAACCUUUAUGCAUAAUAUAGUCUCUCUAGUCUCUCACUGAUCACAUUACUAUCAUUUAACCAUUGCCUAUUUGUAUCUGUAAGUUGCCCUCCCAUCUAGGUUGUA